Molecule: unclassified non-coding RNA, 349 nt
Filed under: uncultured Agaricales
Lineage: Eukaryota; Fungi; Basidiomycota; Agaricomycetes; Agaricales
Description: sequence contains ITS1
Rfam family: 5.8S ribosomal RNA (bases 1-105)
Source: RNAcentral
GAAAUGCGAUAAGUAAUGUGAAUUGCAGAAUUCAGUGAAUCAUCGAAUCUUUGAACGCACCUUGCGCCCUUUGGUAUUCCGAAGGGCAUGCCUGUUUGAGUGUCAUUAAAUUAUCAACCUUUGCUCUUUGCGAGUGAAGGCUUGGAUGUGAGGGUUUGCUGGCUUCCUUCAGUGGAUGGUCUGCUCCCUUUAAAUGCAUUAGUGGGAUCCUUUGCGGACCGUCACUAGGUGUGAUAAUUAUCUAUGCCUUUUGACUUUGAAGCAAACUUAUGGGAAUCCGCUCAUAACCGUCUUCGGACAACUUUGACAAUUUGACCUCAAAUCAGGUAGGACUACCCGCUGAACUUAA